GGCGAAGUAGCUCAGUCGGUUAGAGCAGUGGAAUCAUAAUCCACGUGUCCGGGGUUCGAAUCCCUGCUUCGCUA
Leptonema illini DSM 21528 is the source of this 74-nucleotide transfer RNA. It matches the Rfam family "tRNA". Rfam says of the family: Transfer RNA (tRNA) molecules are approximately 80 nucleotides in length. Their secondary structure includes four short double-helical elements and three loops (D, anti-codon, and T loops). Further hydrogen bonds mediate the characteristic L-shaped molecular structure. tRNAs have two regions of fundamental functional importance: the anti-codon, which is responsible for specific mRNA codon recognition, and the 3' end, to which the tRNAs corresponding amino acid is attached (by aminoacyl-tRNA synthetases). tRNAs cope with the degeneracy of the genetic code in two manners: having more than one tRNA (with a specific anti-codon) for a particular amino acid; and 'wobble' base-pairing, i.e. permitting non-standard base-pairing at the 3rd anti-codon position. Lineage: Bacteria; Pseudomonadati; Spirochaetota; Leptospiria; Leptospirales; Leptospiraceae. The record is from Rfam.